CAGCCGCCACGGGAAUACGUAGGUGGCAAGCGUUGUCCGGAAUUAUUGGGCGUAAAGGGCUCGCAGGCGGUUUCUUAAGUCUGAUGUGAAAGCCCCCGGCUCAACCGGGGAGGGUCAUUGGAAACUGGGAAACUUGAGUGCAGAAGAGGAGAGUGGAAUUCCACGUGUAGCGGUGAAAUGCGCAGAGAUGUGGAGGAACACCAGUGGCGAAGGCGACUCUCUGGUCUGUAACUGACGCUGAGGAGCGAAAGCGUGGGGAGCGAACAGGAUUAGAUACCCCGGUAGUCCCUGUCUCUUAUAC
RNAcentral lists this ribosomal RNA (301 nucleotides) under uncultured bacterium. Its description in RNAcentral is "partial 16S ribosomal RNA". It matches the Rfam family "Bacterial small subunit ribosomal RNA", at positions 509 to 807 of the family's 1533-position model. The record is from RNAcentral.